GGACUUGUGGCCCAAUGGCAAGGCGUCUGACUACGAAUCAGAAGAUUGCAGGUUCGAUCCCUGCCAAGUUCA
This is a transfer RNA of Coccidioides immitis H538.4, 72 nucleotides long. It matches the Rfam family "tRNA". Rfam says of the family: Transfer RNA (tRNA) molecules are approximately 80 nucleotides in length. Their secondary structure includes four short double-helical elements and three loops (D, anti-codon, and T loops). NCBI's taxonomy places the organism in Eukaryota, Fungi, Ascomycota, Eurotiomycetes, Onygenales, Onygenaceae. The record is from Rfam.